RNAcentral lists this ribosomal RNA (253 nucleotides) under uncultured bacterium. RNAcentral describes it as "partial 16S ribosomal RNA". It matches the Rfam family "Bacterial small subunit ribosomal RNA", at positions 524 to 776 of the family's 1533-position model. The record is from RNAcentral.
GACGAGGGGUCCAAGCGUUGUUCGGAAUCAUUGGGCGUAAAGCGGGUGUAGGUGGCUUUGUAAGUCAGGAGUGAAAUCCCCGAGCUUAACUUGGGAAGUGCUUUUGAAACUGCAGAGCUUGAAUGUGGGAGAGGAUCGUGGAAUUCCAGGUGUAGUGGUGAAAUACGUAGAUAUCUGGAGGAACACCCGUGGCGAAGGCGGCCGGCUGGGCCGGAUCCGACGCUGAGGCGCGAAAGCGUGGGGAGCAAACAGG